CCUACGGGAGGCAGCAGUAGGGAAUCUUCCACAAUGGGCGAAAGCUUGAUGGAGCGACGCCGCGUGCGUGAUGAAGGUCUUCGGAUCGUAAAACCCUGUUGUAAGAGAAGAAAGUUCGUGAGAGUAACUGAUCACGUUUCGACGGUAUCUAACCAGAAAGCCAUGGCUAACUACGUGCCAGCAGCCGCGGUAAUACAUAGGUGGCAAGCGUUAUCCGGAAUUAUUGGGCGUAAAGGGAUCGUAGGCGGUUUUUUAAGUCUGAAGUUAAAGCCUUGGGCUUAACCGCAGUAGUGCUUUGGAAACUAGGAGACUAGAGUGCAGUAGAGGAGAGCGGAACUCCAUGUGUAGCGGUGAAAUGCGUAGAUAUAUGGAAGAACACCAGAGGCGAAGGCAGCUCACUGG
RNAcentral lists this ribosomal RNA (402 nucleotides) under uncultured bacterium. Its description in RNAcentral is "partial 16S ribosomal RNA". It matches the Rfam family "Bacterial small subunit ribosomal RNA", at positions 338 to 732 of the family's 1533-position model. The record is from RNAcentral.